GCACUAGUCGGGGAGCCAGCGGUGCCCUGUAACCUGCAAUCCGCUACAGCAGGGAUGAAUUCCCGACCGAGGGCUGUUUCUUGUGUCGUCUGACUCCGGUAAGCAGUGUUGACGAUCCGGUCCCGCGCAACGGAAACCCGUGAACCAUGUCAGGCGGGGAACCGAGCAGCAUUAAGCGGUGCAUUUCGUGUGCCGCGGGGGUGCCGGGUCCGAGCCGGCUGCCGGCUUAACGGGCAUGAGGGGAGACCCGGAGAAGGGUG
Molecule: signal recognition particle RNA, 260 nt
Filed under: bovine gut metagenome
Description: Bacterial large signal recognition particle RNA
Rfam family: Bacterial large signal recognition particle RNA
About the family: The signal recognition particle (SRP) is a universally conserved ribonucleoprotein involved in the co-translational targeting of proteins to membranes. Archaeal SRP consists of a 7S RNA and homologues of the eukaryotic SRP19 and SRP54 proteins.
Source: RNAcentral